UAGGGAACCUUCGGCAAUGGACGAAAGUCUGACCGAGCAACGCCGCGUGAGUGAAGAAGGUUUUCGGAUCGUAAAACUCUGUUGGUAGAGAAGAACGUUGGUGAGAGUGGAAAGCUCAUCAAGUGACGGUAACUACCCAGAAAGGGACGGCUAACUACGUGCAAG
This 165-nucleotide ribosomal RNA is filed under the name uncultured bacterium. Its description in RNAcentral is "partial 16S rRNA". It matches the Rfam family "Bacterial small subunit ribosomal RNA", at positions 355 to 511 of the family's 1533-position model. The record is from RNAcentral.